RNAcentral lists this transfer RNA (74 nucleotides) under Scyliorhinus torazame (cloudy catshark). RNAcentral describes it as "tRNA-Lys". It matches the Rfam family "tRNA". From Rfam's summary of the family: Transfer RNA (tRNA) molecules are approximately 80 nucleotides in length. Their secondary structure includes four short double-helical elements and three loops (D, anti-codon, and T loops). Lineage: Eukaryota; Metazoa; Chordata; Chondrichthyes; Carcharhiniformes; Scyliorhinidae. The record is from RNAcentral.
CACUAAGAAGCUAAACCGGGCCAAGCAUUAGCCUUUUAAGCUAAAUAUUGGUGAUUCCCUACCACCCUUAGUGA